GACGAACGCUGGCGGCGUGCCUAAUACAUGCAAGUAGAACGCUGAAGAGAGGAGCUUGCUCUUCUUGGAUGAGUUGCGAACGGGUGAGUAACGCGUAGGUAACCUGCCUUGUAGCGGGGGAUAACUAUUGGAAACGAUAGCUAAUACCGCAUAACAAUGGAUGACACAUGUCAUUUAUUUGAAAGGGGCAAUUGCUCCACUACAAGAUGGACCUGCGUUGUAUUAGCUAGUAGGUGAGGUAAUGGCUCACCUAGGCGACGAUACAUAGCCGACCUGAGAGGGUGAUCGGCCACACUGGGACUGAGACACGGCCCAGACUCCUACGGGAGGCAGCAGUAGGGAAUCUUCGGCAAUGGGGGCAACCCUGACCGAGCAACGCCGCGUGAGUGAAGAAGGUUUUCGGAUCGUAAAGCUCUGUUGUAAGUCAAGAACGAGUGUGAGAGUGGAAAGUUCACACUGUGACGGUAGCUUACCAGAAAGGGACGGCUAACUACGUG
RNAcentral lists this ribosomal RNA (497 nucleotides) under uncultured bacterium. Its description in RNAcentral is "partial 16S ribosomal RNA". It matches the Rfam family "Bacterial small subunit ribosomal RNA", at positions 28 to 507 of the family's 1533-position model. The record is from RNAcentral.